UACAGUAUUCUUUUUGCCAGCGCUUAAUUGCGCGGCGAAAAAACCUUACACACAGUGUUUUUUGUUAUUACAAGAACUCUUGCUUUGGUCUGGACUAGAAAUAGUUUGGGCCAGAGGUUUACUAAACUAAACUUCAAUAUUUAUAUUGAAUUGUUAUUUAUUUUAAUUGUCAAUUUGUUGAUUAAAUUCAAAAAAUCUUCAAAACUUUCAACAACGGAUCUCUUGGUUCUCGCAUCGAUGAAGAACGCAGCGAAAUGCGAUAAGUAAUAUGAAUUGCAGAUUUUCGUGAAUCAUCGAAUCUUUGAACGCACAUUGCGCCCUUUGGUAUUCCAAAGGGCAUGCCUGUUUGAGCGUCAUUUCUCUCUCAAACCUUCGGGUUUGGUAUUGAGUGAUACUCUUAGUCGAACUAGGCGUUUGCUUGAAAUGUAUUGGCAUGAGUGGUACUGGAUAGUGCUAUAUGACUUUCAAUGUAUUAGGUUUAUCCAACUCGUUGAAUAGUUUAAUGGUAUAUUUCUCGGUAUUCUAGGCUCGGCCUUACAAUAUAACAAACAAGUUUGACCUCAAAUCAGGUAGGACUACCCGCUGAACUUAAGCAUAUCAAUAA
Molecule: ribosomal RNA, 604 nt
Filed under: uncultured Debaryomyces
Lineage: Eukaryota; Fungi; Ascomycota; Saccharomycetes; Saccharomycetales; Saccharomycetaceae
Description: eukaryotic LSU rRNA
Rfam family: 5.8S ribosomal RNA (bases 203-356)
Source: RNAcentral